UCAUAUUCAAAAAAUGAUAAAAAAAUCUAUUUAAUUUUCAAUUUAAUUUCUGUUUUAGCUUUGAAAUUAAUGUUUUAUUAACACUAUAGUUAAUAAUGUGUUUGUUAUUAUAAGGAUCAAAAGCACAUUUAAUGCUAUUUUAUGGUAACUAAACAGAAGUAACUGUUCACAUUUUAUUCGCAUGCUCAUUCUUAGUGGGUUGUGUUUUGGGGUUUUGGUUUUUGAUCAUCAGAACUGCAUCCUGUGUAAGCUUAUAUAACGCUUUCAUUUCUAGCUAGAAAACCACCACAUCACACAUCGUUUUUUAUAACAAUCAAACAAGUUUUUUUUAUUUAUUUUUUUAACUAUGUUCAGAUUUGUCAUGUUGAGACCAAAGCUCAUGGAAGAACCUUCAGAAGACCCUUGAAGAGCAACUAAUGGAUAUAAAUCUCUAAUGUGGUUGUGACUGGAGAUGACAGAAAGAGAAGUGACAGAUAAGUUUGUUUAAAGAAAAAAAUUCUGCUUUUAUGGCUAUUUAUUUAUUAAUUUGUUUAUAAAGCCUGUAAUAGACAUGUAAUAAAUGUGAUGUUACAAUAUUAGACAAUAUUAGUUGUUAAAAUAAAAGUUUGUGACUCCUACUAAUUCUGUCCAAAAUAAUUAUCAUAUAUGCAUUUAAUAUAUUGUUAAACAAUUUAUGCUUAUUUUAUAAAGUGAUGUAAUUAUUUUCAUAAUUUUAUUUGUUAGCCAUCUAUUUUUUUUUCGUAUAAUUUUUUUUACUGCUAGUCUUUGGAGGACCUUCGUUAGGCGGCGCACUUGUUGUCAGUUGUGGAAAAGCAGUUGUUAUGGGUACAUUACAUUGUCUCCCUCAUCAACCCUCAGUGGGUCAAAUUAAGACCCCUGUCCAGUGUGCGGAGAACCCUAAAGGAUCAGGUGGAGUUAUAAUAUAUGACCAGAUGAUGUUCGCCAUGAACAAACAACACUUGGUGGCAGUUCUUCUCUCUAGAGGUGAAAAACUCUGUCAGACCAGUUCUGUUGUAAUGGCAAGUGAAGACAAGAAAGAGAAAUGAUUCCCAAGACCUUAACAUCUCACCAUUUAUACUUCAAAUAAAGGCAUUUUACCAUCAUUUGUGUCUUUGUGC
Long non-coding RNA from Cyprinus carpio (common carp), 1118 nucleotides. NCBI's taxonomy places the organism in Eukaryota, Metazoa, Chordata, Actinopteri, Cypriniformes, Cyprinidae. The record is from Ensembl.